This 1349-nucleotide long non-coding RNA is filed under the name Helianthus annuus (common sunflower). RNAcentral's name for it is "hypothetical non coding rna". The record is from RNAcentral. Lineage: Eukaryota; Viridiplantae; Streptophyta; Magnoliopsida; Asterales; Asteraceae.
UGUCUUUCAAAAAUUAUAUUUAUUUAUUUAUUUUAUUUUCAUCUAUGAUAAUAAUAAAGCUAUGCCCUGUUUUAAGUGUUCUAACUCCCGAUCACCGCUACCAUUUCCGAUUGAUCUGAGUCUCAUAACAUAGGUCAGGGCUCUGCCCGACUAAAUUGUUGGGAUUCGGUCUCGGGACUUCGGGACAAGGUUGAAUUAGGGGUACUAUACUUAACACAAGUGCAUUAUAUUUUUAAUAGCCCAAAAGUUAUACCCAAAAUUUAUACCAGGAGAUUUUCUAGCUAAACCCUAAAGUUACAAAGUGGGUCCAUUCUCUUUUCUCACCGUUUUAUUUCCUUUUUGUGAUUUAUCCAAAACUAUUAUUUAUUAUUCUAUUUUGUAAACAACUCUCAAUCAAAAGUCAUAUUUAUUAUUUUAUUUACCCAAUAGGAAACCCUAGUUGAGACACCCAAGUAAUUCUGCACAAACCCUAAAAUUUUCAUAACAAUCAGAAUCAGGAUCAGGGCCCCUAAAACUCAGGGGGGAUAUUCCCUACUUGACGUUUAUCCUUAUAUCUCGCUGUCUAAAUUGAAAAUUAUCGUUCCGUCGACUCAGCAGGCCUAAGUACGUGACGAAGCAGGCCUAGCCUACUUUGGAUUCCCCCGCGACACGCGACAGAUCCCGGGGAUCCUGUCGCGACACGCGGGCGGUUCCAAAUCAGGCUAUAAAUAGAGGGGCCUGGGACUUGAUUUCUGGCAUUCGUUCGACGUUCAAAUUCGUUUCCUAGUUAAGUUAUUAUCCGUUUACUACAUAACACACACUAGCACGAAGCGCUGCUACGAUACAGGGUAUUAACUCGAUCGUUGCUACGAUUCAAUAUCCGAUCGACUGAAACUAUCCGACAGGAUGUUUAAGUACUAUCCUUUGUCAUUAGUCGUGAUUCCGACAGGAUGUUUGAGUGCUGCCCAAACUCGGGAUAGACUCUGUCAUUCGUUGUGAAUCCGAUGGAUGUUUAAGUGAUUGCACUUUGUCAUUCGUCGUGAGGGUUUUAAUCUCGUGAAUUUAUCGUAAAUGCUGUAUUAGUUAUUUACCUAGUUUCGGGUGCGUUAUCGCUUAAAUUAGGUUAUCAGGCUUAUCAAUAGACUAAACAAUACCCUAUACACUUACAAUCAAAGUAGAUGCUAAUUCUCAGAAGAAUCUGAAUUAUGAGGCUUGUUAAUUCAAAUACUGCAUGCUUAUAAUGUAAUUACACUAGAUUGAAGUAAGGAUUGGAUCCGGCACUAAAGGACUUCAAGAAGUGGCUUAUUUUAUUAAGAAAUAUCGUUUUAUUAAAAGCUACCUUUGUAAAACAUGAAUUCAUUUUACCUAUU